AACGAACGCUGGCGGCAUGCCUAACACAUGCAAGUCGAACGAGACCUUCGGGUCUAGUUGCGCACGGGUGCGUAACGCGUGGGAACCUUCCCUUAGGUGCGGAAUAACUUCCCGAAAGGGGUGCCAAUACCGGAUAAUGUCUUCGGCCCAAAGAUUUAUCGCCUUUGGAUGGGCCCGCGUUGGAUUAGCUAGUUGGUAGGGUAAAAGACUACCAAGGCUACGAUCCAUAGCUGGUCUGAGAGGAUGAUCAGCCACACUGGGACUGGGACACGGCCCAGACUCCCACGGGAGGAAGCAGUGGGGACUAUUGGACGAUGGGCGAAAGCCUGAGCCAGCAAUGCCGUGUGAGUGAUGAAGGCCUUAGGGUUGUAAAGCUCUUUUGCCCGGGAUGAUAAUGACAGUACCGGGAGAAUAAGCGCCGGCUAACUCCGUG
Molecule: ribosomal RNA, 433 nt
Filed under: uncultured bacterium
Lineage: Bacteria
Description: partial 16S ribosomal RNA
Rfam family: Bacterial small subunit ribosomal RNA
Source: RNAcentral